CAGCGGGGGAAAACUGUUACCUACCUUUCAUAGCUGUUGGUCUUAGAGAUGUGUUGCUCCUGUCCAUUCCAUUCUAGAUGUAACCCUGAGAUGCUAUGUCCAGCACCCAACGGUCCAAGGUGACUUGAGACCAGGCCAAACGGAAGGGAUGAAGACGGUUGAGGAAAGAGUGGGGUGGAUCCUGGAAGACCCUGGAUGAGACUGCCAAGGCCUAGGAGGCGGGAGUGGCUGGAACUGCUUUCUCCCAAGCUGCGGUGUAUGCAUGCCCAGCAAGCGAAGGGUGGUCCUGGUGUCCUUUAGCCCAUGCAGCCUAGCAUCUGUCUGGUCCGAAAAGACACUGUCCUGGAUGGAGGUCUGCAUUUCCUGGGAGAGUCCGAUGGUCUGAAGCCAGGAGCUGCGCCUCAUUACCAUUGCAAAUGCAACCACCCUGGCUGCUGAGUCUGCCACAUACCAUGCCAUCUGGAGGGAGCACCUGGCGGCCGCAUUGCCCUCCUCCACCAGGGUUUCACAUUCUUGGGCAAACCCUGUGGGAGGGACUCCUUGAACUUAUGGAGGGAGCCCAUAAGUUAAAAUCGUAACAGCCCAAGAGGAUCUGAUGGUUUGCCAAUGGAAUUGCAAACUGUCCGUCAAUUUUUCCUUCCAAACAGGUCCAACCGUUUGGCGUCUCUGGGUUGAGCUAGUAUGCCCCCGUUUGUCUCUGUCAUUGGCCACAGAGCCCACCAGCGAGCCUGGGGAAGGGUGGGUGUAGAUGUAUUCAAACCCUUUGGCAGGGAUAGAGUAUUUCUUUUCAGCCCUUUUUGAGGUGGGAAGAAUGGAGGAAGGAGUUUGCCAGAGGGCCUUGUCAAUCUUAAGAACACCAUCAUGCACUGGUUGUGCGACAUGGGUUGGGGUAGAGACUAACAGGACAUUAAACAGGGUGUCCAACUGCUCAGCCAUUUCCUCCACCUUCAGGCCCAAGUUCUGAGCCACCCAACACAGCAGGGCCUGGCAUUCUUAGAAAUCAUCCAGCAGGCUGGCCCUCGAGGGUCCCACAACCGCCUCAUCUAGGGACGAAGAUGAUGACUGCAUCACUGAGGGAGGCUCCAGGGCAUGUUACCCCACAGGGGAGGAAGGCUUAGGGGUGGGUGCAGUUCCCUCUGCCUCGAUCUCCUAGCAUGCCUCAUGCACUGGGCCUGGUGCAGUCUGUGCCACCAGCUGUUGCCUGAUGAGCUUUGUGAAGGGGACAUCGCCAUAACCGGCAUUUUGACAAAUAAAAUAUGCAGAAUUUUGGAUUGAAUUUCCCCAGGAGUAAAUUACUAUAAAUAAAGGAUUUACAAGGCCCUAAGGCUUGAAGUCAGUAGAUGAAAAACUGCUAGCCCUUGCAAUGCAAGGAAAGGUACUCAGACUAACCCUCAUGGAUGGUAAGAAGGAACUGAGAGGGCGUAGGGUCGGCGGUGCCUGAUAUACCCACGUAUGAGCGUGGCACUCAAGUGGGCACCACUGCCGACCCUACGGGUACCACAAAGGCAAAAAACUCAGACGACCGCACAUGGGCACGCACACACCUAGAAUGGAAUCGACCUGAGCAAGCACUCAAGGAAUAUGAAGAAUUUUGACUUCACACCAGCUGGGCACUCCUGUGCUAAUGGAUUUAUGCUCUAUGAGGCUCAGGGUAUGUCCCCCAUCUGUGAACUAGUGUAAGCAGGAGGCAGACGAUGACUGUCAUAAUUGCCUCCUGUCCUGGCAGCCACCCUGGGGUGUAUGCAUUUCUGAAGAAAAGAGAUUACAUUCUCAAGUUCAACCUCUAUGGUGAUGGCAUAACCAAGCAGCCCAUCAGUCCUAUCCUACUGCAGGUCUUUAAACCCAUGCAGAACCCAUUGUAGGCACAGAUGGGGAAGCUGGUGCUCAGGAGGUAGCUGACCCUUCUGCUUCACAUGAGUGCAUCUAGAAGAACAAUCCCACCCAACUUGAUUUCCUCCGAUUGUACUGAAACUAGACAGGGAGAACAGUCCAUUCUUACAAACCAGGAGACAGACUCAGAUCUUCCUGCUUUCAUUCCUAGCUCUGCCACUGACCAUGUAUAAUGUUGGUCAUUUAACAUUUUCAUGCCUCUAUUUACCCAUAUGUAAAUUGGACCAAAACCCUUCUGAGGCUCCGUUAACUAAUUCUGAAAAUACUUUUGAGAUCCAGGAAUGUAAUUAUAAAGCAUAAAUAAUGACUUUAGUAACAAUACUGCCUCACUGAAAUCACGUCAAAUUCUUAUUCACGGUUUUACACCUUGUAACAGGUUUGUAUUCAUUUAAUCUACAUUCAAUUCUGCUGUGUCACACUGAUUAAAACAGCCAGCCAUGUACAGUACAGGAGGCAGGGAAAGAUGUCACAUUUCAACUGUGUGGAGCAGUUGGGAGGAAUUGUUGCACACUAAACUGACCUAAUUCUUCAAUCUGCCAGAUUAAAGGCGUUAAAAAUGCUCAGAAAUAAUAAACUGACACACUCUGAUAGGUGCAAACAACUGCAGCACCUUUUUUUUGAUAUAACUCUAUUCCAUCAGGAUUUAGUAAUUAAAUAAAGAGCAUAAUCAACAAGACUGGAACUUAUUUAAAAAAAUCCCAUGCACCUGAACCAGUGAAAGUAUUAAAGUUGACUACACACAAUUUACUUCACAACAAUCAAUUCUGGAAUAUAUUUAAGUCCUUAAAAAAGUUAAUCUGUUUUAAACAGCAUCACACGUAUGUGAGACCUGGUUUAGGAGGAGUUUUCUCCCCAACCACUAGCGUGGGGAACUCCUAUUCCCAAGGGUUGGGAAUGCUCUUCCCACACUGCUCCGACUGUUAAUAAAUAAAUAAAUAAAUAAAUAAAAGUAUGUUUGAGCAUGGCAUCUGGGAACCCCUUGGUAGAACAGGCAGUCUGGGGACAAUGGGACAGAACUGCGAUAAAGUUACUGUUAACCAGGGAGACAGGAUGCUCAAUGGAUUGAUUGCGAGUGCCUCUGUAUUCCAGUGAAGCCUCUCUCACAAAGACAUGUGUGUGUGUUAGGAACAGAACCAGGCAAAUGUCUCCAGAUAGGGUUGUCCGAGGUGGAUUCAGUGUUGACAUGCAGCUGUGGUGGAAACUGUUUUGUCCAUAGCUGUCCCUCCGCAUGCAUCAAGGAAAACAGCAAAGAACAGAAGUGUUCUCCUGGUGGUACCGAUGGCUGUGUCCCACGAGCCGUGGGAUUCCCUCACAGAUCAAAGAUGCCGUGGCAAGUGGUGGGGCAUUACAAGUCUGUCAAAGUCUCUCAGCUUUUAUUAAUUUGAUUCCUGGUAAUGUAAAACACCCCUGUAGCAGAAAGCCACACUGCUCAUUCCCACAUCAUAUGAAAUCAUUCACCAUUUUAUGUACAAGUUCUGAAUUACAAUCUUCAACUUUUCAUCAAAAAACAAAAAUAAAGCCUAAAAAAGCAUUUUUUGGUAAAACUGCACAGUAUAAAGAAGCAUACUUUCAUUACACAAUGUCUUACACAACA
Molecule: non-coding RNA, 3484 nt
Organism: Chrysemys picta bellii (western painted turtle)
Lineage: Eukaryota; Metazoa; Chordata; Testudines; Emydidae
Source: RefSeq, a predicted model, not a curated record